CCUACGGGCGGCAGCAGUGGGGAAUAUUGCACAAUGGGGGAAACCCUGAUGCAGCGACGCCGCGUGAGUGAAGAAGUCAUUCGUUACUUAAAGCUCUAUCAGCCGGGAAGAAAUACUGACAUUACGGUCAGCAGACGGUACCUGAGUAAGAAGCCCCGGCUAACGACGGGCCAGCAGCCGCGGUAAUACGUAGGGGGCAAGCGUUGUCCGGAGUUACGGGGGGUAAAGGGAGGGUAGACGGUAAGGCAAGUCUGGAGGGAAAGGCGGGGGCCGACCCCCCGGAGUGCUCUGGAAACUGUGUAGCUGGAGUGCAGGAGAGGCAGGAGGAAUUCCUGGUGUAGCGGUGAAAUGCGUAGAUAUUAGGAGGAACACCAGUGGCGAAGGCGGCCUGCGGGACUGUAACUGACGUUGAGGCUCGAAAGCGUGGGGAGCAAACAGGAUUAGAUACCCGGGUAGUC
RNAcentral lists this ribosomal RNA (458 nucleotides) under uncultured bacterium. Its description in RNAcentral is "partial 16S ribosomal RNA". It matches the Rfam family "Bacterial small subunit ribosomal RNA", at positions 338 to 795 of the family's 1533-position model. The record is from RNAcentral.